AUUAUUAGCUAUAACCCAACUUACACAUGCAAGUAUCCGCAACCCCGUGAGUAUGCCCUCAAUCCCCUGCCCGGGGACGAGGAGCGGGCAUCAGGCACAAAUUUUUUUAGCCCAAGACGCCUGGCCUAGCCACACCCCCAAGGGAAUUCAGCAGUGAUAAAUAUUAAGCCAUGAGUGAAAACUCGACUCAAUUAGGUUUAAGAGGGCCGGUAAAACUCGUGCCAGCCACCGCGGUUAAACGAGAGGCCCUAGUUAAUAAUACACGGCGUAAAGGGUGGUUAAGGAGCAUACAACAAUAAAGUCGAAUGGCCCUUUGGCUGUCACACGCUUCUAGGUGUCCGAAGCCCAAUAUACGAAAGUAACUUUAAUGAAGCCCACCUGACCCCACGAAAGCUGAGAAACAAACUGGGAUUAGAUACCCCACUAUGCUCAGCUAUAAACCUAGACGUUCAACUACAAUUAACGUCCGCCAGGGUACUACGAGCAUUAGCUUGAAACCCAAAGGACCUGACGGUGCCUUAGACCCCC
Molecule: ribosomal RNA, 528 nt
Filed under: Pseudophoxinus kervillei
Lineage: Eukaryota; Metazoa; Chordata; Actinopteri; Cypriniformes; Leuciscidae
Description: partial small subunit ribosomal RNA
Rfam family: Bacterial small subunit ribosomal RNA
Source: RNAcentral